AUUAGCAUAUUCCCACACGCCUCCGCGAGGAGUGCGGUGAGUCUGAGGGAGCGCGAAGGCCGUCCAGCCGGGAUGCUCCCGUGGCGGAGGCGGGCGACGCGGCCGGACGGCGCGAGGACGGGCUCGGAGAGACCCCGGGACCGCGAGGGGCCGCUUCCAGCGCAUUGUGAGGUCCCGCGGUUCUCGUCGCCUGAGGUCGCGGCGCCGAUGGAGGCGCUUGAAGGGGAGCGAGGCGCCCACGGGUGCCCCAAGCGAGCGCGGGGCGCAGGACGGGGUCUCGUGGGUGGGUGCCUUGGGGUUGCAACGCGUUACCCAACGGCUUCCUACUGCUAUGCAGAGUGAGACUCGGCCUCAUCCCUGUGGAAAGUGGUUGUGCGGAGUGAGGUGCAGAGGUGUCUGGGGGACCCACCUUCUAGCCGGAAGUCCAGGGGGCUGGCGCUUGUGGGCUCUUCCGCCCACGGAUGCCCCUGGGCGGGCUCCUGAGAAGUGUUUGUUGAAUGAAGAAGUUCGCAGGACAGGGCAGGGCCCGCCCCGUCGGUAACGCGAGCUCAUUGCACCCCGCUACCAGCGACGGAACCCACGGGGCAGGCUGUCGCUCGGGACAACAUCGGGCGGCGGCGACCGGCGGCCUUUUAAGCGGGUCUUGGAGCUGUGGCGGGUGGAUCUCUCCUGCCAAAUCCGCUCAGUUUCCCCGAGGGAGGCUGUGUGACCCGGCCCUAGCCUCUCCCUAGGGUGGGGCCUGGAGCCUUCCCUCCCGCCCCCAGCAAGAGGGUGAGGAACGCAGCCCGAGCCACGCUCCACUCCGAUCUGCCUCCCAUCUUCACGCAGGAUGGUCUUAGGCGACCCCAGUGAAAGGGUCAUUCGACUGUCAAAAGGGUCGCGACUCACAGGUUGAGAACCGCUGCCCCGGAAGCUCCAGUGGGGCAUGUCGGGACUGCCGGCUCUGUGGGAAAAUGCAGAGGCCAAACCGCCAUCCACUGUGACCACGUGGGGCUCUGGCGCGCUCGGCUGGAGGAAGGGAUGUAACCGCCAAGCUCCCACGGAUUUGCGCGAUCUCGGUACGAACAAAGGAGUGCGAGCUGCCUCACUGAUGGCAUUUCAUCUCCUUUCGGAUGUGCGGCAUUAGAGAGCAUCGGGAACGUUCAUUUCACUGGUUCCUUUUUAAGUGUGGCUACCAGGGAGUGUUACAUUGUGUGUGCGGCCGUCAUUUCCUCCGAACAGCGCUGCCUGGAGGCAGGCCUGGAUCGGGUUCCCACGUCUGCUUGCUCCUUACCCUCUUGUCACCAGGGCGGCCUGGCUUGAGGACCCAAGAGCAGACCUGCCCUUAAAAAGUUUGAAAGUCUGAGAUCCAGAGAAACCAAUAAAAUAUGAAGGCGGUGGCCUUAAAGCUUGCUCAUAAAGAUGGCACCAAUGAUGGGCUUUUUGAGUUCAAGAAUGGGACCUUCGUGAGCUCAGGGCUGUCCUCUGCGGGGCAUCUCAGCGGAAAGGAGAGAUGGACAUCAGCCUGGAGCUACCCCGCACCCCGUUGGUGUCAGCCUUCCCUAGGCUGCUGCAGCCAGGCAGCACAACUGAAGAAAAUUUGUAACGCUGCUCGCUCAAGACGAUUAAAGGGAACUAUCUUUGCAGAUGGAGUUAAGGUGGAUUUUACAUAGGAGGUGACUUUAGAAAUGUCCUGAUAGGAGAGUUAAGACUUGCCCUGGAUGGUUUGGCUCAGUGGAUAGAGCAUUGGCCAGCGAACCAAAGGGUCCCCGGUUCGAUUCUGGUUGCAGGCUCCUCCCCGGCCGGAGCCCUGGUCAGGACGAGUGCAGGAGGCAACCAAUUGAUGUGUUUCCUUCACAUCGAUAUUUCUCUCUGUCUUUCACUCUCUUCCACUCUCCCUAAAAAUCAAUGGAAAAAUGUCCUAUGGAGGUCACAGUUCGAUUCCCAGUCAGGGCACAUGCCUGGGUUGCAAGCUCCAUCCCCCAAUAAGGGGCUUGCAGGAGGCAGCCAAUCAAUCGUUCUCUCUCAUCAUUGAUGUUUCUAUCUAUCCCUCUCCCUUCCUCUCUGAAAUCAAUAAAAACAUAUUUUAAAAUCAUUUAAAAAUAAAAGUACUUUUUUAAAAAAGAUGACAACAGAAGGGGGAAGGAAAAGAAAUCUUGAUAGAAAACAAUAUUUGAUAACUACAUGAGCAUAUCAGGUAGAGGGAAAAAUUAAAAAGCAAAAAGGUGCUAAGUUGGGGUUAUUUUCCACUAUGAAAAAAUACAGUGAAGAUCUCUGACCCACGUAGACCUUAAAUUCUGAGGGUUUUGGGCAAAUAAUCCCAUAAUCAGGUGGGGAUUACAGGUUGUGAUUAAGAACCAUGAAAGAGAGAAAUUAGGUGUUAGGAUUACAGGGAGGUCAACUUUAGAAAGAGUGGCCAGACAAGGCCUCUUGCAAGUGCUGACCUUUGAGCUGAGAGGCCUGAGGCCAUUCUGAGAGAUUUGAAUUUUAUCUUCUCUAGCUGGAGAAGCCAUUGAAAGUUUAAAACUGAACGAGAUUACAUUUAUAUGUUUUGAAAAAUCAAAAGAGUAGGCAAUGGCCCUGACUGGUUUGGCUCAGUGGAUAGAGCGUCGGCCUGCAGACUGAAGGGUCCCAGGUUUGAUUCCGGUCAAGGGCAUGUACCUUGGUUGUGGGCAUAUCCCCAGUGGUGGGUGUGCCAGGAGGCAGCUGAUCGAUGUUUCUCUCUCAUCAAUGUUUCUAAUUUACCCUUCUCCCUUCCUCUCUGUAAAAAAUCAAUAAAAUACAUUUUUUUAAAAAAAA
Myotis daubentonii (Daubenton's bat) is the source of this 2778-nucleotide long non-coding RNA. RefSeq lists it as uncharacterized. NCBI's taxonomy places the organism in Eukaryota, Metazoa, Chordata, Mammalia, Chiroptera, Vespertilionidae. The record is from RefSeq and is a predicted model, not a curated record. The transcript is spliced from 2 exons.